GCCGAAGUGGCGGAACGGUAUACGCGGUGGUCUCAAAAACCAUUGGAUGUUGAUCCUUGUGGGUUCGAAUCCCACCUUCGGCA
This 83-nucleotide transfer RNA is filed under the name Chloroflexota bacterium. RNAcentral describes it as "Chloroflexi bacterium (anaerobic digester metagenome) tRNA-Leu". It matches the Rfam family "tRNA". From Rfam's summary of the family: Transfer RNA (tRNA) molecules are approximately 80 nucleotides in length. Their secondary structure includes four short double-helical elements and three loops (D, anti-codon, and T loops). Further hydrogen bonds mediate the characteristic L-shaped molecular structure. tRNAs have two regions of fundamental functional importance: the anti-codon, which is responsible for specific mRNA codon recognition, and the 3' end, to which the tRNAs corresponding amino acid is attached (by aminoacyl-tRNA synthetases). tRNAs cope with the degeneracy of the genetic code in two manners: having more than one tRNA (with a specific anti-codon) for a particular amino acid; and 'wobble' base-pairing, i.e. permitting non-standard base-pairing at the 3rd anti-codon position. The record is from RNAcentral. Lineage: Bacteria; Bacillati; Chloroflexota. RNAcentral also lists the same sequence under 1 other name.